CCCAAAACCUCCACAAACCUUCCAAAUUCAAACAAAACAGAAAACCCCAAAAGCCCUAUCAUUUCUUCCAAUGUAUCCCGAAGAAGACCAGACGAAACCCUCUCAGAUCCAAGCCAAAAGACUAAUGCAUGAACAGAUCCUUGCUAUCAAUAGAGAAAGAAACACUUUGGAAACCAUUUGGAGUAAUAGAUUAGAUAAUUUCCAAAAACCAAAUCCGAGAGGAGCAAAUUAAGUCUGAUGGAGCUACCGUUGCCAAUCUCUUCAGCCAUCCGUUCUAACAUCCCUAGCGCCUCCUUAAUUCAGUACCGAUGAACCGAAAAUCGACGACCUUCUCCCGUUGGAGUGUGCGCAGCAGUGUUGGCUAUCCUUCCAAUAAAGAAAAAGGUUUGGAUGAAGCUACCUUCUUGAUAAUAGUGAUUGAAUCGCCCUCCACUUGAAUCAAUCGAGACCCCAACUCAGCCGCAAAAGUGAUAGCUUGCUCACAUGCUCAAGCUUCCGCAACGAGAGCAUCCAAAACACCAUGGUGGGGGUAAGUACACGCAACCAUGAUAAAUCCUACAGAGUUUCUAGCUAGUACUCUUGAUGCUUUAAACAGCGCCAUAAAUUUGAGAACAGCCCAAUACUUCCUCCGUAUGGAAAUGUGGUAGUAGCUCCUUGUUCAUUGCGAGUGAAAUUCUUCGUUAUAUAUUAUCAUAAAUUCAUGAUGCAUCCCCUGCCAUUGAAGCCGAAAAGAACUUUACGAAAUAGCUCGAAGCAAUCAUCAGUAGAUCUUCUCCAUUCGUUACCCAAUGACCCUACUCAUCCUCAAGACCUAGAAUUUUAUUUUUCCUUCUCCGAGUCGAAGUAAAAUUAUGAAAGAAUGUAGUAUUUUUAUCUCCAUUUACUAGCCAAUUAACUUGUGCCUUCUGCUUCCAGAACAAUUCCUCCUUAUCAACUUCUAAAUUCAAGCUAAUUUGGACUUCCAUAAGUUCAGCAAUAGUGUCUUCCUCAGGAUCACACUCAUACAAUUCCGCCAAUCUUGCCUCUAAGUUACCUUUACGUGCCACCCUUUCUCUUUUACUAUUUUUGCACCACUGUUGCAACUGUUUUCCCUGUAAGAGUAUGCCCAAAGAUCAAUCAUGAGAUGGUUGUAAUAACAUACUUGAUUUAUCAUGUUUAUUAAUAUAAGGCAAUAUAAGGCAUUACCAUUA
Gossypium raimondii (Peruvian cotton) is the source of this 1190-nucleotide long non-coding RNA. RefSeq lists it as uncharacterized. Lineage: Eukaryota; Viridiplantae; Streptophyta; Magnoliopsida; Malvales; Malvaceae. The record is from RefSeq and is a predicted model, not a curated record. The transcript is spliced from 2 exons.